This 578-nucleotide ribosomal RNA is filed under the name uncultured bacterium. RNAcentral's name for it is "bacterial SSU rRNA". It matches the Rfam family "Bacterial small subunit ribosomal RNA", at positions 339 to 916 of the family's 1533-position model. The record is from RNAcentral.
CCUCGGGAGGCAGCAGUGAGGAAUAUUGGACAAUGGGCGGAAGCCUGAUCCAGCCAUGCCGCGNUGCAGGAAGACUGCCCUAUGGGUUGUAAACUGCUUUUGUACAGGAAGAAACCUUUCCACGUGUGGAGAGCUGACGGUACUGUAAGAAUAAGCAUCGGCUAACUCCGUGCCAGCAGCCGCGGUAAUACGGAGGAUGCAAGCGUUAUCCGGAAUCAUUGGGUUUAAAGGGUCCGUAGGUGGAUUGGUCAGUCAGAGGUGAAAUCCUGCAGCUCAACUGUAGAACUGCCUUUGAUACUGCCGGUCUUGAAUUAUUGUGAAGUGGUUAGAAUAUGUAGUGUAGCGGUGAAAUGCAUAGAUAUUACAUAGAAUACCGAUUGCGAAGGCAGAUCACUAACAAUAUAUUGACACUGAUGGACGAAAGCGUGGGGAGCGAACGGGAUUAGAUACCCCGGUAGUCCACGCCGUAAACGAUGGUCACUAGCUGUUCGGACUUCGGUCUGAGUGGCUAAGCGAAAGUGAUAAGUGACCCACCUGGGGAGUACGUUCGCAAGAAUGAAACUCAAAGGAAUUGACGG